This 340-nucleotide ribosomal RNA is filed under the name uncultured eukaryote. RNAcentral's name for it is "partial 18S ribosomal RNA". It matches the Rfam family "Eukaryotic small subunit ribosomal RNA", at positions 1470 to 1796 of the family's 1831-position model. The record is from RNAcentral.
CCCUUAGAUGUUCGGGGCCGCACGCGCGCUACACUGAAGGACUCAGCGUGUCUCUCCCCCUAUCCCGAAAGGGAUGGGCAACCCGUUGAACCUCCUUCGUGCUAGGGAUUGGGGUUUGCAAUUAUCCCCCAUGAACGAGGAAUUCCCAGUAAGCGCGAGUCAUCAGCUCGCGUUGAUUACGUCCCUGCCCUUUGUACACACCGCCCGUCGCUACUACCGAUUGGAUGGUUUAGUGAGACCCUCGGAUCGGUCCCGACUCGGGGUGGGCUUCUGCCCCGGUCGUGGUUUCGCCGAGAAGACGGUCAAACUUGACUAUCUAGAGGAAGUAGAAGUCGUAACA